GACGAACGCUGGCGGCGUGCUUAACACAUGCAAGUCGAGCGGUAAGGCCCUCGGGUACGACGAGCGGCGAACGGGUGAGUAACACGUGGGUGACCUGCCUCUAGCUCUGGGAUAAGCCUGGGAAACUAGGGGUCUAAUACCGGAUAUGACUCCACGGCGCAUGUUGUGGGGUGGAAAGCCUUGUGUGGCUAGAGAUGGGCCCGCGGCCUAUCAGCUUGUUGGUGGGGUGAUGGCCUACCAAGGCGACGACGGGUAGCCGGCCUGAGAGGGCGACCGGCCACACUGGGACUGAGACACGACCCAGACUCCUACGGGAGGCGAGCAGUGGGGAAUCUUGACGCAAUGGGCGAAAGCCUGACGCAGCGACGCCGCGUGAGGGAUGACGGCCUGGUGUAAC
This 397-nucleotide ribosomal RNA is filed under the name uncultured bacterium. RNAcentral describes it as "bacterial SSU rRNA". It matches the Rfam family "Bacterial small subunit ribosomal RNA", at positions 28 to 429 of the family's 1533-position model. The record is from RNAcentral.